RNAcentral lists this small RNA (148 nucleotides) under Pongo abelii (Sumatran orangutan). RNAcentral's name for it is "Metazoan signal recognition particle RNA (ENSPPYG00000034072.1)". Lineage: Eukaryota; Metazoa; Chordata; Mammalia; Primates; Hominidae. The record is from Rfam by way of RNAcentral.
GCCGGGCGUGGCGGCGUGCGCCUGUAGUCCCAGCUACUGGGGAGGCUGAGGCAGGAGAAUUGCUUGAACCUGGGAGGUGGAGGUUGCAGUGAGCCGAGAUCGCGCCACUGCACUCCAGCCUGGGUGACAGAGUGAUACUCUGUCUCAA